Molecule: unclassified non-coding RNA, 339 nt
Filed under: Dinomyces sp.
Lineage: Eukaryota; Fungi; Chytridiomycota; Chytridiomycetes; Rhizophydiales; Dinomycetaceae
Description: partial contains 5.8S ribosomal RNA, internal transcribed spacer 2, and large subunit ribosomal RNA
Source: RNAcentral
CGCACAUUGCACUCUAUUUCGGUAGAGUAUGCCUGUUUGAGAAUCUAUAGUAUUCUUUUUCCUAUUUUAUAGUUAUCGCAACUAUAGAAUAGGAGAGAUUUGAGGUUUCCCUAUAGCUUUUAGUUAAGGGUACCUUUAAAUAGAUAACUUUGAAUGGCAAGCUGAUGUUUGAACCUUCAACAUUCAUUGUAACAGUAGUCGAAUAAACCUUUUGGUUUUCUUUUGCUGUUUAAUGAUAGAAGAUUAGUCAGAUUGUUAUGAGAGGUCCAUAACCUUUAAAGACCGUCAAAAGUCUUGAACCAUGGUCUCAAAUCAGGUAGGAAGACCCGCUGAACUUAA